CAGAAAGUAGUUUAAUAAAAUAAUAAUUUUGGGGAUUAUAGUAGAGUUGAGUCCUUUCUGA
RNAcentral lists this transfer RNA (61 nucleotides) under Longipodacrangonyx sp. 1 MDMBR-2012. RNAcentral describes it as "transfer RNA Proline". The record is from RNAcentral. Lineage: Eukaryota; Metazoa; Arthropoda; Malacostraca; Amphipoda; Metacrangonyctidae.